AGUUACCAGCGGGUAAAGCCGGGGACUCUGGUGAAACUGCCGUGGAUAACACGGAGGAAGGUGGGGACGACGUCAAAUCAUCAUGCUCCUUAUGUCCUGGGCUACACACGUGCUACAAUGGCCGCUACAAAGGGAUGCGAGGCCGUAAGGCCAAGCGAAACCGAAAAAAAGCGGUCCCAGUUCGGAUUGAGGGCUGCAACCCGCCCUCAUGAAGUCGGAGUUGCUAGUAAUCGCGGAUCAGCAUGCCGCGGUCGAAUACGUUCCCGGGCCUU
This 272-nucleotide ribosomal RNA is filed under the name uncultured bacterium. RNAcentral describes it as "partial 16S ribosomal RNA". It matches the Rfam family "Bacterial small subunit ribosomal RNA", at positions 1113 to 1382 of the family's 1533-position model. The record is from RNAcentral.